RNAcentral lists this ribosomal RNA (105 nucleotides) under Nannospalax galili (Upper Galilee mountains blind mole rat). Lineage: Eukaryota; Metazoa; Chordata; Mammalia; Rodentia; Spalacidae. The record is from RNAcentral.
UUUGUAUAGCACUUCACUCUGAAUGUGUCUGAUCUUGCCUGAGCUCAGAAACUAAGCAGGGUUGGGCCUGACUACUACUUGGAUCGGAAAAGGACUUUUAUAGGA